RNAcentral lists this small nucleolar RNA (67 nucleotides) under Drosophila subobscura. Lineage: Eukaryota; Metazoa; Arthropoda; Insecta; Diptera; Drosophilidae. The record is from RNAcentral. RNAcentral also lists the same sequence under 1 other name.
UCAGUCCUUUGAAAAAUCAACAUAAUUGUUCGGUUAUAUGCUUGUCUAUUGGUUUGUCAUCAUAGAA